GAUGAACGCUGGCUACAGGCUUAACACAUGCAAGUCGAGGGGAAACGACGGGGAAGCUUGCUUCCCCGGGCGUCGACCGGCGCACGGGUGAGUAACGCGUAUCCAACCUGCCUCUGACUGAGGGAUAACCCGUCGAAAGUCGGCCUAAUACCUCAUGGCAUCGUCUGCGGGCAUCCAACGACGAUUAAAGAUUUCAUCGGUCAGGGAUGGGGAUGCGUCUGAUUAGCUUGUUGGCGGGGUAACGGUCCACCAAGGCUACGAUCAGUAGGGGUUCUGAGAGGAAGGUCCCCCACAUUGGAACUGAGACACGGUCCAAACUCCUACGGGAGGCAGCAGUGAGGAAUAUUGGUCAAUGGGCGGGAGCCUGAACCAGCCAAGUAGCGUGCAGGAUGACGGCCCUAUGGGUUGUAAACUGCUUUUAUGCGGGGAUAAAGUGAGGGACGUGUCCUUCAUUGCAGGUACCGCAUGAAUAAGGACCGGCUAAUUCCGUG
RNAcentral lists this ribosomal RNA (491 nucleotides) under uncultured bacterium. RNAcentral's name for it is "partial 16S ribosomal RNA". It matches the Rfam family "Bacterial small subunit ribosomal RNA", at positions 28 to 507 of the family's 1533-position model. The record is from RNAcentral.